AGUUUGAUUAUGGCUCAGAUUGAACGCUGGCGGGAUGCUUUACACAUGCAAGUCGAACGGCAGCACGGACUUCGGUCUGGUGGCGAGUGGCGAACGGGUGAGUAAUGUAUCGGAACGUGCCUAGUAGCGGGGGAUAACUACGCGAAAGCGUAGCAGCUAAUACCGCAUACACGCCCUUCGGGGAAAGCGGGGGGACCUUCGGGCCUCGCACUAUUAGAGCGGCCGAUAUCGGAUUAGCUAGUUGGUGGGGUAACGGCUCACCAAGGCGACGAUCCGUAGCUGGUUUCAGAGGACGACCAGCACACUGGGACUGAGACACGGCCCAGACUCCACCGGAGGCAGCAGUGGGGGAAUUUUGGACAAUGGGGGAAACCACAGAUCCAGCCAUCCCGUGUGCGAUGAAGGGCAGCGGGUUGUAAAGCACUUUUGG
This 430-nucleotide unclassified non-coding RNA is filed under the name uncultured Bordetella sp. RNAcentral's name for it is "partial 16S-23S ribosomal RNA intergenic spacer". It matches the Rfam family "Bacterial small subunit ribosomal RNA", at positions 10 to 439 of the family's 1533-position model. The record is from RNAcentral. Lineage: Bacteria; Pseudomonadati; Pseudomonadota; Betaproteobacteria; Burkholderiales; Alcaligenaceae.